CAAGGAACCAACCAUGCUAUCUGGUUGUUCCUCGACUCCUUUGAUGGAAGAGCCUUUUAUGAAAGAGCUCAUCCGCUUCGGUACCCAAUUUAUCGGGUACCGCGAUUAUGCUGCCCAGCUCGAAGAGAAAUUUGCGGAAACCAGCAAACGUGCUGACGCUCUUGCUGCUAAAUUGGAGCAAAGUGAAUCGGCACGCAUGAAAGCCGAAGCUGAUGCUGCUACCGU
This is a long non-coding RNA of Lolium rigidum, 225 nucleotides long. RefSeq lists it as uncharacterized. Lineage: Eukaryota; Viridiplantae; Streptophyta; Magnoliopsida; Poales; Poaceae. The transcript has 3 exons. The record is from RefSeq and is a predicted model, not a curated record.